CAAUUUUUGUAUGACCUAGUUUACUACGAUAAAGAAAAUAUUCACCCGGAUGUUAUUAAGGCUGUCUUGCCAUAUAUCAAGAAUCCAGAAUUUAACGCUGAGUUUAUAAUGUCAAAAUCAGCAGCUGCAGCUGGACUUUGCGCUUGGGUAAUAAACAUCGUUAAGUUUUACGAUGUGUACGUUGUGGUGGAACCGAAGAG
Molecule: unclassified non-coding RNA, 200 nt
Filed under: Melitaea cinxia (Glanville fritillary)
Lineage: Eukaryota; Metazoa; Arthropoda; Insecta; Lepidoptera; Nymphalidae
Description: misc RNA ENSMCXG00005011706.1
Source: RNAcentral